This 1281-nucleotide long non-coding RNA is filed under the name Salvia miltiorrhiza (redroot sage). RNAcentral describes it as "long non-coding RNA (SMIL_LNC000800)". Lineage: Eukaryota; Viridiplantae; Streptophyta; Magnoliopsida; Lamiales; Lamiaceae. The record is from RNAcentral.
CUCCAUUCCUUCUUUAAAACAUGCAUCACCUAUCCCGUUUCUCACCUCUCAUACUCAAUUCCUGCAGUCAAGUUUCACGGUAAUAAUACAAAAUAAUUCCCAUCUCUUUUAAUUUUCUUUGUGAAACUCAUUCUCACUUUUGUAAAUUAUGCAGAGAGCAACAACAUACACCACCAAUUCGAGGUUUUCUCCUUAAACUAAACUCCUCCUUCAUUUCAUGCUUCAUAUCAAAUUACUCAUAUUCCAUUUUAUGUGCAUGUACAGUUUGUGGGCAAACUGAAAUUACACAUACAAAUGAAGGAUUGAAAUUACAGUAUACAGUGUGUGAGCACAAGUUAUAAUUGAACAACAAUUACAGCUUAGUAUAUGAAACUCUAUUUCUAUCGUGUUGACUGGAUGUUGGGGCUGAGCCUGUUCUGUGUGUGAGUGACGGGGUCAGGGAGGCGGAACCGCGGUAGCUCGUCGGCGGCGAUGUCGCCGUUGUCUCCGUUUCAGCCGAAUCGGAAAAAGUGAGGCUAGAAGUUAGAAGAUUUCAGUGGGUAAAAGGGGAUAAGAAAUGAAGAUUUAGGGCUUACCCGGUUCCAGGCGACGGACGGCGGCGGCGGCGGCUCCGGCCAUUCGAUCGGAGAAGAUGAAGCAGGGGAGGCGGCGGCGCGGCUUAGGCCGUGUCCGUGUGCGUGUGGGUGUGUGACAGAGGGAGUGAGAGAAGAGGGAGGGAGAUGGAGAAGGCGGCCGUUCAGCCGGAGAGGAGAGAGCGGCGGCGGCGUCUGCUGCCUCUUUCCGGCAGAGACAAGAGAUGAGCGAGAAAAGAGAGGGUGAGAGAGAGGGAGAGUUCAGAGAGGGAGAAAGGACGGUGGCAGCCGGCGUCCGGCGGCGGCGGAGAGCAGCCGAGAGAGAGAGAACCGUGUGAGUGGGUGCGUGUGUGUGAGUGUGUUUGAAUGUGGUUUUAGUGUUUUGGUUAAAAAUUAAAGGGGUUAUUGCCAUAAAAUACACAUAGUUUGCUAAUUUUCUGAUUUAUAACAUGACUUUAAAAUUUGGCCAAAAAAUACAUCAAUUUUAAAUUCAAUUUUAAUUUUAACAUAAUUUGAAUUUAUGAAAAAUAAAGAUCUAUGUGGCAUAUUAUUUUUUAUUUUAAAUCUAGAUGGCAUAUUAAUAUUUGUUUUAAAUCUAUGUGGCAAAUCCACAUACACAAACACACACUGACACACACACACCACAUACACACAAACACACACUGACUCACACACACCACACACACACAAACACGAACACACACCACAU